AAUUGCUUGCAUAACUCCAAGAGGCAAACAGGAAGCUGGAGCUUGCACACAUUCGUAAGCUUUCUAGAGCGGGCAGGUCCCUCUGUGCCUUUCCAGCUCCUUCCCAAACCCAUCGCCACACCCAUUCUGCAGGGCAGCCCCAAGAGGAAGAGCAAGCCCAAGCUUCACACCGGAGCCUCACCCAGACUCAGCUCCCAGCUGCCUGACUCUCCCAGACUACAGGUUAGCGGAGACAGAUAAGAAACAAGCCUGAUGGGACGUUGGCAGACUUCCCCGCUGCCAGCCGAGAACGACUACAGGCCACGGGCUGCUCAGGCCUGGAGAACGUGAUGGAAUGGUUAGCAAGGGGCAGACGGUCCACUCCAGCAGCCGAUUGUCUCCAGCCAUAAAGCCCUCCUGACUUAGGUCCCAGUCGCGUCCACUUGCAAUUCACCUUGAAAAUGGAGCAAAGAGAACAGAGAGCGAAGGCAGCCCUACCACCAGCCAACAGUACCUUUGGAACAUGGACCUCACUACAGAAAAAGUGGGCAAACGGUCCUGGUAACAAGACCAGGCCAGACCAGACCAUCUGCUGCCUAGAACAGAGAUGUGCUCUUGAACCUGGCAGCUAGCUCAGGGCCAAGACUCCAGCGAGUGGCAGGAAUGUACCACUUCUUAAAUACACAGAUGCACUCCCUGGGCAGUAUCCAAGGGUCUUCUGAAAAUAGGAAGAACCUGUUUCUGGAAGCUGCUGUUUGACCUGAGUAAUUUCUUGGAGCCUUCUUGCUCAUGUGAUGACCAGUGGGUUGAUCUGAAUUCAGUCUAAGGGAGAACCAGAGAGAAAGAGAAAAGGAAAGACAGAGACAGAGAGGCUGAAACGUAUGGUGGAAUUUAAGAGAACAUGUUGGAGCUUAUGGAUUUUUUAACAAAAUAAAUCAAGUAGAUUGCCACAAACAAAAAAAAAAAAUGUUAUUUUGGAACAAUAUCAGGUUCACUGGGUAAGAGUUCUCCUGUUCUAGUGCUUAAAAUGUGUGUGGGGUGGGGCUCAGGGGGUUGACAAAUUGGGUGAUACUGCUUAAAACUGCUCCUGGGUCCCUGUGGUUGUGCAACAUUUCACCACCUUUCCUCUUUUGUGCAUCACCGCAGCCUACAGCUACACCACAGCUACACCACAGCCAGGCGAGAAACAGUACCCUCAUUUUUCAGAGGAAGCAACAGAAUCUCAAAAAAGUUAAGUAACUUCCCAGAAGUCAUAUGAGAGGAUAGACAAAACAAGAAUUCAAAAAUGAUCAUCCUAACUUCAAUUCAUUUUUAAAUUUUCUUAUAUCUGUUCUACCCAGUUCAGCCUCCCAGAGUUACUCUGUAAAAGGCCAUUCCAAAGUCUACUUAAACUACAACUCCAACCCAUCAUUCCAUGGAGGCCUAGAUUCAAGAUGUUUAAAGAAAUGAGUUAUAUGUAAAAAACCAAAGGACAGCCUCAAAGGCAGCUCUGAAGGUGGCACACCAAGAAUCUGGGGACCUGAGUGUCAAAAUUGCUGCUAAUACAUCCCAUGACUUCCAGUAGUUCACUAAUUCUGUGUCCUUUUAUUUCCUCUAAGGACGGUAGAACCAACAACCUACCUAUAUCUCUUAAAUUUACCAUCGUUAUAGGCACUAAUAUCACUUCAAUGUCUUCAAGAAACAAAUCUAACCAAAACACCAUUAUUAUCAUAAACCAUAUUAUAGUAAUGAGGACUGUUGCCAUUUAUUCUGAUUUUCCUUUUUCUAGACACCAUGGUAGGACUGAACUCAGCUAUAAGUCUAUCUUCCAGGUAAAAGAUUUAAGAACUAGCACAACUUGUUACAUCCUUUACCCUGAUACCAAAGGUACAAGAGGACAGGUUGCAACUGAGUCUCCAACAGCUAAAUCUUCCAGUGACCAUGGUGAGUGGAGCCUCCCUCCUGGCCCACAAGAAGCAUGAACAAGAAGUCAGAGAUGUUUGGUGUCAUUUGUUACAACAACAUAACCUCAUAACACUGAUGGAUACAAAUCAUACAGAAAGUCUGUUUCUGGGGAGGAGUAACCAGGGAAAGCUGGUCAGAAUGUAAAGAAAUGAAAUGAAGAAGAUCUACUGAGAGAAGAAAUAUUUAUUAGGCAUCUCCUUUUACAAUAAGGUGUGCAAGUGUGCUAGACACAUUAUUCUUCCUGAACUGGGAAAUCCAAAAGGGCUAUUUUAUAUCAUAAUGAUAAAUGCUGCUCUUUCAAGGAGUUGAUUGAAAUUAUUAAAAUAUUUGCCUUUAACAGAUAUUUUUCACUACCAAAAUCUGUUGAUAGUCUAGGAGAAACACUCCCCUCUCCAGAUUGCCUACAGAUCUAUUUCUCAAGUAAAUCUGUUUAGAAGUUUUCAUUCUCUUUAGUUUUCCACAGUUGUUCAUUUAUAAAACUGUGGCUACACUUAGAAGAGAAAAGGUUUUAAUCUAGAAGUAUUAAAAUAUAUCAAGGUCAUGAGAAUUUUCAUAGACUUCUGCUAAAGGCUAAUGUGAACAAGAUUUAAAAAAAAAAAAAUUGCCCUCCCUGCAAGGAAUGAGUCUUUAUUGCCACUCUGAGCCAAAUAAAUAAACAAGUUUGUAAUUUCCUCUUUUAACAGAGUUUGCAUAAACUUUGGAUUUGUUUAUGGGCAAAACAAUUGUCCACUGUAACGGGCUCAUCCUCGGCAUGGCUUUAUUUCCCUUCUCACCUCCUCUGCCCUUCGCUUCUUGCUGUCCUGAGGUUCUCUUGUUGUGGGUAGUGAUUUUCCACCACAAACAACUUAACAGCAUAAGGCAUAAGGCCUUAGAAAAACCUUUUUUAGGAGAUUUGAAAAGAAAAACAUUGUGUGAAAGAUGCCACACUCUAUAAUCCCAUGGCUACUUUUUCAAUUUUUUUUUCAGUUUUUAUCAUUGUUUAUAAAAUUGGAGUUUGG
Molecule: long non-coding RNA, 2921 nt
Organism: Chinchilla lanigera (long-tailed chinchilla)
Lineage: Eukaryota; Metazoa; Chordata; Mammalia; Rodentia; Chinchillidae
Exons: 3
Source: RefSeq, a predicted model, not a curated record